Molecule: long non-coding RNA, 552 nt
Filed under: Phoenix dactylifera (date palm)
Lineage: Eukaryota; Viridiplantae; Streptophyta; Magnoliopsida; Arecales; Arecaceae
Description: long non-coding RNA (PDAC_LNC018073)
Source: RNAcentral
GAAGGGCCGUAUCAAAUCGCCCGGGUGCAACGACCAGGGGCGUAUAAAUUAAAGUCCCUAGAGGGGACCCUGAUCCCGCGAAGCUGGAACUCCGAGAAUCUACGAAUGUACUACCAGUAAAACCCCUAGGGGUUCAAGACAAUCAGGACAAUGGACUCAGUUCCUUUUCUGCAAAUAAUUCUCUUAUCUUGAUGACUGUAAUUCUCUUCUAAUGUUGGGCCGUCUGUGAUCCUCAGAUUCCCCGGCCAAAAUCGGGAUGCCUCGAGAAUCGACCGUAGAGAACCAGACUCCCUCGACCUCGGAAAGCGUCGCAGGUUGGUAGAGCGUGCCCAGACCCACCGACCUGACGAACGAUCCCUCGACUAAGGUCGGGAUGCCCCGAGGGUCGACCGUAGAGUCUCAAACUCCCUCGACCUCGGGAUGAAGCCGUGAGGGGUGGAAAGGGUGGUUCCACCCGGGGCGCCACAAAGUGGACCCCCGGGAGCGGUCGACGAUCCCCGAUCCCCUGACGAACGAUUCCUCGACUAAGGUCGGGAUGCCCCGAGUGUCGAC